GUGACUGUCCACACUGUGUGCAGCAGGCCACUGUGCCCCUCCGGGGUUUCUCCUCUUCACGGCUCAAGGGCUGCCUGUUGCCCAUGGCCCAGCCUCCAGCCCCAGCCCGCCCUGCUCUGCGCUGCCUGUGAAUCUGUGAGCGGCCUUGCACAGUCCUGGUCCUGUGCCGGGCGAUCUCCUGAGCACAAGUCCGCAGGGCUCUCCUGUAUCAUACCAUGUGUCUGCAUUCCCUUUCUUCAGGCCGCCGUUGCAGUCCAUAAAGCCUCAUGCAGUCAUAGGACCUCUGCUGGGCCUCCGCAGAACUGGAAGGAAGACGCAGGACCCUCCCAGCUGCCGGGCCAGGUGCAGGACAGAUAAAUGGUGAGUGUUUUUCAGUAUAUAUGUGUCUUAAAUAUUGCAUGGGCUACACUCAUACUGAGAAAGUGUUGUGUACCUGAAUUCAAAUGUCCUGGGCCUCCUGUGUUCUGCCUGCUGAGCCCUCUUUACAGCACAGAUAUCUGCAAAGGGGCAGCUG
This 514-nucleotide long non-coding RNA is filed under the name Cavia porcellus (domestic guinea pig). Its description in RNAcentral is "lncRNA (ENSCPOG00000030001.1)". Lineage: Eukaryota; Metazoa; Chordata; Mammalia; Rodentia; Caviidae. The record is from RNAcentral.